Solanum dulcamara is the source of this 1589-nucleotide RNA transcript. It is a transcript of the gene named F-box/FBD/LRR-repeat protein At1g13570-like, with no coding region annotated. The transcript is spliced from 3 exons. Lineage: Eukaryota; Viridiplantae; Streptophyta; Magnoliopsida; Solanales; Solanaceae. The record is from RefSeq and is a predicted model, not a curated record.
UUAGGCCAUGAGGAAUGCUUGGACAUCUGAUGUAGAUACAAUUAGCAAUUUGCCUUGUAAUGUUCUAAAUGUAAUUCUAGGGUGCUUGCCUUGGAAAGAUGCAGUGAAGACCAGUAUCUUGUCAAAACACUGGAGGUACAGAUGGGUAACACGUCAAGAACUUGAUUUUAAUGAUGAGUUUUUCAAGUCUUUCAUACAAGAUGAAGAAGCCAAGAUAAUUAUUUACCAAGUCCUAUUAGUCCAUAAAGGACCAAUACUGAAGUUUAGACUCCAAGGUAGUAGUUUUACGAGUUGUCCUGAUAUUGAUCAUUGGAUGCACUUUUUGUCGAAGAAAAAUGUCCAGGAAUUCACCCUUCAUGUAAGCUUAAAAAACGAAUAUCAUUUACGUCAUCACCUUUUCACAUUCCAGCAACUAAGGUAUUUGGAACUCCAACAUUGCUUGUUCCACCCUCCGCUCGGUUUCAAAGGGUUUGAGAACCUUAUUAAUCUCGAUCUUCUGCGCGUCACUUUUGUUCCAUCAAUAUUUACAAAUCUCAUCUCUAAAAGCCCGUUGCUUGAAUGAUUGAGGUUGUGUUGCUGCACAAACUUUGACACCCUUGAAAUUGAUGCCGCUAAUCUCAAAUUCUUUGAGUUUAAUGGAAAAACAAAAUCCAUUUCCUUCAAAAACGCUCCUAUGCUUGAAAAAGUUAUUGUGGGUAUCCUUGGACGACGAAUUUUGCCUGAUACAUCUCCUGUUUUUCCUAAUCUUACGAAGUUCUUCCAUUACAUGCCUUCACUGCUGGAACUGGAGAUAUGCGGUGCAACAUUAGAGUACUUGAUCAAGGGAGGUGUACCAGGGAGUCCCCCAACUGCUUUGAACAAUAUCAAAUCUCUCAAUCUUUCGUCCAUGUCUUUAAUAAACGUCGAGGUGAUUUCAAGUGCAGUUUACUUGAUUACAAGUUGUCCUAAAUUACAAGAUCUUACAAUUGAAUUUUACCCCGUGGGGAAUAUUGUUGAACCUGCUGUACAAUUGCUACGAGCUCAAUCAUCCUCAGACGGUGCUGUGAAGCUUCAAAGAGUUCAUGUGAACAUGUUUACUGGUCUCGAGAUGGAAAUGGAAUUUAUGAAGUUUAUAUUGGCAUCUGCACCUGUACUUGAGGAGAUCUCCAUUUGGAAUUUUACGCGUUAUCUUUUUCGUUCAGGUAAACAAAUGAUCGAUGAGAUGAAAGAAUUCGACAGAGCAGAUGUUGAAUUCAUAUUUGAUGAAGUCGAGUUGGAAGAUCGCGUUGAAUUCAUAUUUGAAGAAGGCGAGUUGGAAGAUCACGUAGAACCCCAAGAAGAAGUCAUGGAAGUGCCAUGAUUUUGCUUACAUAUAUAGUAUUAUUUUUUUUGUAUCACUUCUUGGCUUUGUUUGCCUGUCAUGCCCUGUCUGUCUAAUUAUGCAGUAUAAAGUUGCUUGGCUAAGUUUUAACUACUUCAAGGAUUGCCUCUACUAGUGAUGGUCACUGAGUUAUUAUGUUAUUACGAUUUUGCCCCCCUGUGUUGUACAAUUAUGCACGUUUAAUCUUUAAUUAACUUAAAUGUGUAGUUUUUGCCCAUAAAACUGAAUA